Molecule: ribosomal RNA, 389 nt
Filed under: Metaphire feijani
Lineage: Eukaryota; Metazoa; Annelida; Clitellata; Crassiclitellata; Megascolecidae
Description: partial 12S ribosomal RNA
Source: RNAcentral
UCAUGGCAUAAAUAAUAGUUAAAUAUUACGAACUAUAGUUUAAAAUCUAAAGAUUUUGGCGGUGUCUUAUAAAACCAGGGGAACCUGUCUCAUAACUCGAUAAUCCACGCAUAUUCAACCUUCUCUAGAUAUACAGCAUGUGUACUGCCGUUGUAAGUAUACCUUUAAAAGAAUAAGUAUACCACUAUGGCUACCAAAUUACCCCAUUUACAUCAGGUCAAAGUGCAGCUAAUAAGAAGGAGACGAUGGGUUACAACCCCAAACCAGACUAUCAACCAAGAAAUAAAAAAUCUUAUGAAAGUGGACUUGGCCGUAAUCAACUUAUAACUUAAAAAAAUGAACAUUCUCUAAGACAUGCACACAUCGCCCGUCACUCUAACCUAAAGGCU